This 497-nucleotide ribosomal RNA is filed under the name uncultured bacterium. RNAcentral describes it as "partial 16S ribosomal RNA". It matches the Rfam family "Bacterial small subunit ribosomal RNA", at positions 28 to 507 of the family's 1533-position model. The record is from RNAcentral.
GAUGAACGCUGGCGGCGUGCCUAAUACAUGCAAGUCGAGCGAACGGACGAGAAGCUUGCUUCUCUGAUGUUAGCGGCGGACGGGUGAGUAACACGUGGAUAACCUACCUAUCAGACUGGGAUAACUUCGGGAAACCGGAGCUAAUACCGGAUAAUAUUUUGAACCGCAUGGUUCAAAAGUGAAAGACGGUCUUGCUGUCCCUUAUAGAUGGAUCCGCGCUGCAUUAGCUAGUUGGUAAGGUAACGGCUUACCAAGGCAACGAUGCAUAGCCGACCUGAGAGGGUGAUUGGCCACACUGGAACUGAAACACGGUCCAGACUCCUACGGGAGGCAGCAGUAGGGAAUCUUCCGCAAUGGGCGAAAGCCUGACGGAGCAACGCCGCGUGAGUGAUGAAGGUCUUCCGAUCGUAAAACUCUGUUAUUAGGGAAGAACAUAUGUGUAAGUAACUGUGCACAUCUUGACGGUACCUAAUCAGAAAGCCACGGCUAACUACGUG